AGCGAACGCUGGCGGCAGGCCUAACACAUGCAAGUCGAGCGCGUGUCGCAAGACACGAGCGGCAGACGGGAGAGUAACACGUGGGAACGUACCCUUUGGUUCGGAACAACCCAGGGAAACUUGGGCUAAUACCGGAUAAGCCCUUACGGGGAAAGAUUUAUCGCCGAAGGAUCGGCCCGCGUCUGAUUAGCUGGUUGGUGGGGAACGGCCCGACCAAGGCGACGAUCAGUAGCUGGUCUGAGAGGAUGAUCAGCCUCACUGGGACUGAGACACGGCCCAGACUCCUACGGGAGGCAGCAGUGGGGAAUAUUGGACAAUGGGCGGCAAGCCUGAUCCAGCCAUGCCGCGUGGGUGA
This 355-nucleotide ribosomal RNA is filed under the name uncultured bacterium. RNAcentral's name for it is "bacterial SSU rRNA". It matches the Rfam family "Bacterial small subunit ribosomal RNA", at positions 29 to 408 of the family's 1533-position model. The record is from RNAcentral.